GGCUAACGCUGGCGGCGUGUCUUAGCCAUGCAAGUCGAGCGGACUUAUGGGGUAACUUAUAAGUCAGCGGCGGACGGCGGAGUAACACGUAGCUAACCUACCCUCUGGACGGGGAUAACCUACCGAAAGGUGGGCUAAUACCCGAUGUAGUCAUCCUGUAUAGGGGUGAUGAAAGGUGGGCUUCUGUUUACAAGCUCAUGCUGGAGGAGGGGGCUGCGGCCUAUCAGGUAGUUGGUAGGGUAAUAGCCUACCAAGCCGAUGACGGGUAGCCGGCCUGAGAGGGUGACCGGCCCGAGGGGCACUGAGAUACGGGUCCCACUCCUACGGGAGGCAGCAGGCUAGAAAUUUGGGCAAUGGGGGAAACCCUGACCCAGUGACGCCGCGUGCAGGAAGGAGCCCUUCGGGGUGUAAACUGCUGUCGUGUAGGGAGAAGGGUACUAAGGUGAACAAUCUUAGUACUUGACGGUACUACAGGAGGAAGCCCAGGCUAACCUCGUGCCAGCAGCCGCGGUAAACCACGAGAGUA
Molecule: ribosomal RNA, 526 nt
Filed under: uncultured bacterium
Lineage: Bacteria
Description: bacterial SSU rRNA
Rfam family: Bacterial small subunit ribosomal RNA
Source: RNAcentral